This 458-nucleotide ribosomal RNA is filed under the name uncultured bacterium. Its description in RNAcentral is "partial 16S ribosomal RNA". It matches the Rfam family "Bacterial small subunit ribosomal RNA", at positions 338 to 795 of the family's 1533-position model. The record is from RNAcentral.
CCUACGGGUGGCUGCAGUGAGGAAUAUUGGUCAAUGGGCGAAAGCCUGAACCAGCCAAGUCGCGUGAGGGAGUACUGCCCUAUGGGUUGUAAACCUCUUUUGUCGGGGAGCAAAAGCCGGACGUGUCCGGCUGUGGGAGUCCCCGAAGAAAAAGCAUCGGCUAACUCCGUGCCAGCCGCCGCGGUGAUACGGAGGAUGCGAGCGUUAUCCGGAUUUAUUGGGUUUAAAGGGUGCGCAGGCGGAUUUUUAAGUCAGCGGUAAAAUCGUGGGGCUCAACCCCAUCCAGCCGUUGAAACUGGGGAUCUAGAGUGUGCGAGAGGUAUGCGGAAGGCGUGGUGUAGCGGUGAAAUGCAUAGAGAUAACGCAGAACCCCGAUUGCGAAGGCAGCAUACCGGUGCACAACUGACGCUCAGGCAAGAAAGCGUGGGUAUCGAACAGGAUUAGAUACCCCAGUAGUC